CAGUCGCCGCGGUAAUACGGAGGGGGCUAGCGUUGUUCGGAAUUACUGGGCGUAAAGCGCACGUAGGCGGCUUGGUAAGUUAGAGGUGAAAGCCCGGAGCUCAACUCCGGAAUUGCCUUUAAGACUGCCGAGCUAGCAGGUGAGAGAGGUAAGUGGAAUUCCGAGUGUAGAGGUGAAAUUCGUAGAUAUUCGGAAGAACACCAGUGGCGAAGGCGGCUUACUGGCUCAUACUGGACGCUGAGGUGCGAAAGCGUGGGGAGCAAACAGGAUUAGAUACCCCCGUAGUCCCUGUCUCUUAUAC
RNAcentral lists this ribosomal RNA (301 nucleotides) under uncultured bacterium. RNAcentral describes it as "partial 16S ribosomal RNA". It matches the Rfam family "Bacterial small subunit ribosomal RNA", at positions 509 to 807 of the family's 1533-position model. The record is from RNAcentral.